GCACCUCCCACAGCAACCUGGGUCCGAAUGGGUUGAACCAUUCGACCCAAUUUGAGUUCUUCUAGGGCCCAAUUGCCCCAGGAUUAAGCUAAUGGGAUCACCUCCCAUUUCUAACUUAAUCAAAGUGCUAACUACGAUUAUUUCCUAAGACAUAUUCUGCAGCUUGCUUCGGUACGUCACUCGCUUCUUCCGGCGAGUUUCCGGCGAACUUCCGUCGAUCAUCCGAUGAACCCUCGAUGAUGCUCCUGCGGACUUCCGGCAAACUCCUGGACUGCGACGAUCCACUUGGCAAGUUCCGACGAGUUCCUUUGGCAAGCUUCUGGACUUCUCGGAUUUGUUUCCGCAGAACCUCCGACGACUGUCCGAACUUCCGUCGAGCUCUCGAACUCCAACGUGAUCAUUGUCAUGACUCCGGCGCAACUCCUGUUGCAUGUCUUACUUUCAUCGUAGUUAAUCCUGCACACUUAUCUCAACACACUAAUUAGUCAAACAAUUGUCAAUUGACUUCAUCAUCAAAAUCCGAGAUUCAAC
Molecule: long non-coding RNA, 531 nt
Filed under: Musa acuminata (dwarf banana)
Lineage: Eukaryota; Viridiplantae; Streptophyta; Magnoliopsida; Zingiberales; Musaceae
Description: long non-coding RNA (MACU_LNC006878)
Source: RNAcentral